Transfer RNA from Scleropages formosus (Asian bonytongue), 73 nucleotides. It matches the Rfam family "tRNA". From Rfam's summary of the family: Transfer RNA (tRNA) molecules are approximately 80 nucleotides in length. Their secondary structure includes four short double-helical elements and three loops (D, anti-codon, and T loops). Lineage: Eukaryota; Metazoa; Chordata; Actinopteri; Osteoglossiformes; Osteoglossidae. The record is from Rfam.
GGCUCCAUAGCUCAGUGGUUAGAGCACUGGUCUYGUAAACCAGGGGUCGUGAGUUCAAUCCUCACUGGGGCCU